GCCGUGUGGCCUAAUGGAUAAGGCGUCACCCUCCGAUAUAUCGCGGAUGCAGGUGAAGAUUGUGGGUUCGAGUCCCAAUUUUCGGUG
This is a non-coding RNA of Gonium pectorale, 87 nucleotides long. NCBI's taxonomy places the organism in Eukaryota, Viridiplantae, Chlorophyta, Chlorophyceae, Chlamydomonadales, Volvocaceae. The record is from Rfam.